ACAACACUGCAAACAAACAAGCCCAUUCAUCGAAUGGCAACACUUAGAAAAGGUCCUUAGAAAACAAGACACAACAAAGAAUAAAUUAAAAAAACAAAAAAACAAAACAGGCUGCUCUGCUCAACGCCACAUUUUGCAUCACACAAAAUCCAUGUACUUUGACCCGUGAUUCCCAUUUUCCCUUGUUAGUAGUGACACAUUUCGGCUGGUCAGCUCUCCUCGGUAUUGACCUCAGCUCUGAGGAGCAGCUUGAACGGGAACCGUCGCCGUGCAAAUACAUUUCUCAGAGGCCCACCGACGUUGCCGAGGAUGCGAUCGAACGGUUUGAGUCCGGAGCGGUCAGCGGGGCCGUCGGGUCGGAUCAUGUUGACGUAAACGCCUUUCUCCAGAAAGCCAUCUGACACGCUGAAGCCAAAGUCAUCUCGCUCAGGAUCCUUCAUCACGUCUAUGAGGCUGCAUUUCAGGACUGGGAUUGAGGAUCCGUUGCUAUCAGUGGUCCACUGAGAGUUGCUGAUGAUCUGUGAGUUGGAUUACCAGCGUCCACUCUAGGCUACUCUAAUUCUGUCCGUUCAGGACUUCAGAUCCAUGUAUCCAGCGCUUUACAGAGCGGCCCAAAGGACUUGGUUGGACUGUUCAAAGACACCAUGCUCUGUGUUGCUUAGUGCCAAGAGCGCGGCCAUCGUGGACCUGACUUGUUUUUGUUUGUUGUGUUUGUGUACGUCUUUGUGUAAAGCGCCUAUGAAUGGCCUUUUGUUUUUGUUUAUGUCUUGAUGUCUGUGCCUACGGGAACGCUGUUGAGUGAGCCGCUCCGCCUGGCAUCUUCUUUUGUCUGAUUUCAUUUAUGCCCAUCAUGACUUACUAUCUUUGUGUUUUGUGUACUGUAAAUUGUGCAUGUAUUUUUUUUUUUUAUUCCUUUUGUGAAGCGCCCUUGGGGUGUCUUGACAGGAACUUUAUAUACACUGUACCAUAAGCUGUGGCUAUAUUCAUUGUACUGCAACAAAUAACAAUCAGAUAAUUCAUACACUGGUAAUGCUAUGACUUUCAAAGCAGCAGAUAUUGUAAGUGUCUGAGCUGAUGCAGAGAAGAUGCAGGUAAAGCAGCCUGGACUACACAGGGAUAGAGCUCUGAUACCUUACAAAGCCCUUCUGCUGCCCCACAGGCCUCAAGGAAGGCCCUUAAGCCCUCAGAAUGCUCUAGAAGCUUUACCCUUCAACGGCCGUACCUCUCCACGCUGAUCCCUCUGAUCUGUCUUUUGGAACAACGCUUAAAACUGAAUCUGGAUCUCAACUGACACUAACACACACACACACACACACACACACACACACAAUAUCUCUCACUCUGACACACAGCAACUGACACAACCUCGAUUAAUUAAGCUGCUAAAGAACUUGUACAACAACUGUUGCAACUUGUAUAGAUGCAAAAGCAACUGCAACCCAAACAUCUCCGUUGUUAGCAUUCUUUUACAUUUGGCAUCUGUCUCAAUGGCUGUGUGUGGCCUCAUCAGAAGCAGCUAUCCUGAGUUUUGUACAUAUACUGUACAUCUAGAUCUAUUCAUGUUACUGAUGCCUUCCCACUUGAACAAAACCCCAUAUCCCUAAAAGCCCAGAGAUUUGAUGUCAUUCAGCUAUGUCUCUAUGGUUCAAAUGACAAAUAUCUCAAAGACUCAAAUUUGUCUCACAUGUCACCCACAUAUCUCCUAAACAUAUAUAUCUCAUAUGUCUCCCAAACAUUUCUCGCACAGUAGCUGUCUAGUUUGGACCAGUGGAUACUGCAGUCAGUCAAACAGACACCUGAGACGGGCACCUUGAGGAGCUCCAGCGGUGUGGGCGACAGGAUCUCCUGCAUCUCCUCCUUGAUGCGCCGCGACUCCCACGUCUUGUCGGAGACGCGCAGCGUGUUCUUGCUCUUGCCCUCGUGCAGCAGCGGGCCCUUCUGGAGAGGGCUCAGGCCCACAGGGCCCAGCGGGUCCCCGUGGGGGGGCUUGUGCCCGUCCACGCCCAGGCUCAGGGCACUGCCCGUCAUUAUGGAGGCCUGUGGGGGGGGGGGGGUCAGAGGUCACUGCCAUGUGAACACCGCAAAGUUUCAUUUUGGAAAACAGUUAAGCACUCAAGCCAAAGAUCUGCUUUAACCCUCUCUGCUCAAGCUUUUGAGCUUAGGGUUGAGGAAAUAAGUUACCAUCCCUAACAACAUGGGCAUAUACAGUACGACCCAAAAUCUGAAAAAGUUGGGACGCUUUAUAAAAUGUGAAUAACAAAAGAUUUCCAGAAUAACAAAAGAAUGUCACCCCUAUAUUUAAUUGGGAAGACAACAUAUCAACUGUUGAA
Molecule: long non-coding RNA, 2330 nt
Organism: Sardina pilchardus (European sardine)
Lineage: Eukaryota; Metazoa; Chordata; Actinopteri; Clupeiformes; Clupeidae
Exons: 3
Source: RefSeq, a predicted model, not a curated record